This 240-nucleotide unclassified non-coding RNA is filed under the name soil metagenome. Its description in RNAcentral is "partial contains 5.8S ribosomal RNA, internal transcribed spacer 2, and large subunit ribosomal RNA". The record is from RNAcentral.
AACGCACGAGACCUGCGGACCUGCGGAGGGAUCAUUAUAGAGUGGUAACCCUCUGUAAAAGGGGGGGACCUCCUGUCCUUUGUAGGCUCUUUUUUAAAGGGCUUUUUUUAAUUUUCUGCUUCGGUGGGGUUAUCCCACCGGAACAACCUCAAAACUCUGAUCAAAAAAUCGUUCUGUCUGAGAACUUUUUAUAAUAAAAAAAAACUUUCAGCAACGGAUCUCUAGAUCGGAAGAGCACAC